RNAcentral lists this ribosomal RNA (253 nucleotides) under uncultured bacterium. RNAcentral's name for it is "partial 16S ribosomal RNA". It matches the Rfam family "Bacterial small subunit ribosomal RNA", at positions 524 to 776 of the family's 1533-position model. The record is from RNAcentral.
UACGAAGGGAGCUAGCGUUGUUCGGAAUCACUGGGCGUAAAGCGCACGUAGGCGGAUGUGUCAGUCAGGGGUGAAAUCCCGGAGCUCAACUUCGGAACUGCCUUUGAUACAGCACGUCUUGAGUCCGAUAGAGGUGGGUGGAACUGCGAGUGUAGAGGUGAAAUUCGUAGAUAUUCGCAAGAACACCAGUGGCGAAGGCGGCUCACUGGCCCGAUACUGACGCUGAGGUGCGAAAGCGUGGGGAGCGAACAGG